This 334-nucleotide unclassified non-coding RNA is filed under the name uncultured Archaeosporaceae. Its description in RNAcentral is "sequence contains 18S rRNA gene". The record is from RNAcentral. Lineage: Eukaryota; Fungi; Glomeromycota; Glomeromycetes; Archaeosporales; Archaeosporaceae. RNAcentral also lists the same sequence under 1 other name.
CCCAACUAUCCCUAUUAAUCAUUACGGUGGUCCUAGAAACCAACAAAAUAGAACCACAACGUCCUAUUCUAUUAUUCCAUGCUAAUCUAUUCAAGCAAAUGCCUGCUUUAAACACUCUAAUUUUUUCAAGGUAAUGGUCCUGGCUCCCCGGCACACCCAAUAAAGGACAUACUGGUUCACCAGAAGGUGGACCCGACACAGGACAGUACUCGCCAAAGACGGACCGCCCGGCCAGGCCUAAAAUUCAACUACGAGCUUUUUAACUGCAACAACUUUAAUAUACGCUAUUGGAGCUGGAAUUACCGCGGCUGCUGGCACCAGACUUGCCCUCCAA